Molecule: long non-coding RNA, 7899 nt
Organism: Manis pentadactyla (Chinese pangolin)
Lineage: Eukaryota; Metazoa; Chordata; Mammalia; Pholidota; Manidae
Exons: 4
Source: RefSeq, a predicted model, not a curated record
UGACUGCCAGGAAUUUAGGGGGAAGGAGGGAUGAACAGGCAGUACAGAGGGUUUUUAGGGCAGCACAAAUAGUCUGUAUGUUAUAAUGGUGGAUACACGUCAUUACACAUCUGUCCAAACCCACAGGAAGCACUCCCAGGAGCGAGAGCCCUAGUGUCAACCACGGAUCUUUUGUGCUAAUGACGUGUCCAUGUAGGUCCCAUCUAUAAGCAGACGACUCUGGUGGGGGAUGCUGGUAAUAGGGGAGACUGCUGUGGAGGGUAGAGAGUAUAUGGCAAUUUCUGUACCUUCCUCUCAACUUUGCUGUGAAUCUGAAACAGCUUUAAGAAAAGUAAAGUCUUAGCAAAAAAAAAGAUUGACAACACCCUAUAAAAGACUGAUUAGUAAGAGAAAGAAAAACCCACAAAUUACCAAUGUCAGAGGUGAAGUGAGAUAUACCACUACAAAUCUUACAGAAAUCAAAAUUAUAAUAAGGAACUACUAUGAACAACUUUGGCCAAUAAAUUUGACAACUUAGAUCAAAUAAACACUUCUUUUGAAAAAUACAAACUAUCCAAACUGACACAAGAUGAAAUAGAAAACACAAAUGUCAGAUAUAACAAAGAAAUUGGGUAUGUUAUUGAAAGAUUCCCUACAAAUAAAACACCAGGCACAGACAGUUUGUUUCAGUGGUGAAUGCUAUCAAACACUGGAAAAGAAUACACAAAUUCCAUCAGAAAAUUAAGAAAGGAACACUACACUACUCACUUUAUGAGGUCAGUCAAACCCUGAUAUCAAAACUGGAUAAAGAUAUUACAGGAAAAGUAUGUAGAUCAAUAUUUCUAAUGAACAUAUGUGCAAAAAUCAAAUCCAGAAGAUAUAGCCAAUAUAACCCAUACUUAUAUUAUUGAUUUUUUUUCUAAUGAAGUCCCAGCUCUUUUCCUCCGCAAGUGAUUUUUGACAAAGGUAUCAAGGAAAUUCAACAGGGAAGGUAAGUCAUUUAAACAAAUGAUAUCUGCAUGGGAAGGAAAAAAAAGUGAGCCUCGAUCCCUACCUCAAACCAUACGCAAAAAUAUUUCCAGUUAGAUCACAAACUACACAGAAAAGCUAAAACUGUAAAACUUGCAAGAGGAAAUGGAGGAAAAGAAAGGCAAAAGUUUCUUAGGAUGCAGAAAAGUAUAAGCAUAAAAGAAAAACUUGAUAAUCCGAUUUCAUCAAAAUUAAAAACUUCCGCUCAUUAAAAAACUUCAUUAAGAACACAAGUCAGUAAGCUAUGGUCUAAGAGAAAAAUAUUUACAAAACAUGUGUCUGACAAAGGACUUGAAUUCACAAUAUAUAAAAAGCUCCUACAACUCAAUAAUAGGAAGACAAGUCACUUGAUGGGCAAAAGAUUUGAACAGGCACUUCCCAAAGGUAUACAGAUGCCCAAAAAGUAUAUGAAAGAGUGCUCAACAUCGUUAGUCCCUAAGGAAAUGCAAAGUAAAGCUACAAGGAGAUACCACUGAAUACUCACUAGAAUGGCUAAAGCUAAAAAACCUGAUGGCAACCAACACCAUGAGCACAUGGACAAAUCGCGACUUUCACUCACUUGUGGGGAAUGUAAAAUAAUAUGGCCACAUUGGAGAAAAGGUUUGGCAGUUUCCUAGAAAGUUAGAACUACCCUUUAACUCAGAAUUCCCCUCUUCAGUAUUUAGCCAAGAGAAAUAGAAACAUGUUUACAAAAUACCUUGUCCAAGCAUGUUCAUAGCAGUUUUAUUCACAGUAGCCAAAAAAGUAGAAAUAACCCAAAUGGCCAUCAUCAGGAGAACAAGUAAGAAACUGUACAUUGUGGUAAAUUAAAGAUGCAUACUGCAAUCCCUAAAGCAACCAUGGAGGAAAAAAGAAGAUAUAGCUAGAAAGCUAACAUGGGAAUUUUACUGGAAUGUUCUUCGUUAACACACAGGAUUGAACCCUGAUAUGCACAACAUCUGGAUGAAGCUCCGUCACUGUGCUGAGUGAAAAAAGCUGAUCCAAAAGAGAAACGAUAAAAUGAAUCUAAGGUCUAAAAAAAAAAACAAUCAGAAUGGUGUCAGGGGCAGGGGUUGUCCAAGAAGGGACAGGCAGGAACUUUCCAGGGAGGCAGACGGACACACUCUGGGGGUAGGGUGGGCAUUACACGGAGCACCCACUUGUCAUUGUUAGACAGCCAGGACUUGCACCUGCAUGUAAAUUUUAACAGAAAAAACCCUGUAGAAAAUAUAACAACAGAGUGGAGGUGUGUAAGUGGCACAAAAAGGCAGAAUGCUGACAGAGCCUCGGCGAGGCUGCAUGGUUCAUCACAUUGUGCGUUGAUUUUAGGAAACUGAAAUUUCCCUAGAAAUAAAACACCAGGCACAGACAGUUUCAGUGGUGAAUGCUAUCAAACAAAAAAAGCCCACCUAGCAAUUAGCUUUCAGCAAAAAGACUAAGGGCAAGCACGUUUUAUGGCUCGUCUGCCCUGCUCGCAGUCCUUGAGGACGGGAGAGGAGAGAAGCAGGCGGUCUCCCUGGACGCGUGACCUGGGCCAGCAGGGUGGGGAGGUCGGUGGCCCCGGGGACAAGGACACCCACCAGCCACAUUCGGCGGGAAGUCUACGAAUCCCCAAGUGGUGAUUUUCCUUUCCCAUUCCGCUGGGCCGGGCUCCCUGGCCAUCUGUCACCCCAGACGGUUUUGUAGGUAUGGACGCGGCCUGCGCUUCCGCUCUGAGCUCGAACGUGCGAUGGGAACUGGAACCGUUCAGCCGCCGUCUCCCCGCUUGCUCAGUCACCCUCGUAUCUGUCUCCCCUCCCAAGGCGGGGACCUGAGCCUUCUUCUGGUGCCUGCCUUCAUCUGCGGCCACUGUAGGCUGGGCUCCAGGGGCCUCAGGACGGCCAAGAAAACGGAGCGAGGUCUCGAACACGACCCGUUGCAGCCUGGCCAGCUUGGCCUGAAGCUCCCCGUAGCUCGGAAACACGCCCAGGGUGCUGUUUGAAAAUACUCGGGUUACCUAGUAACCAGUAACGACAGGAAAGGCAGAAAAAGCUGAGGGCGAUUUCUGGGCCCUGGGCCUGACGGGCGCUGACUCACCGCGACCUGAAGCAAUCUUUCUAUUCCCGUCCCUGCGUAUGCCAAGUAGAGGGAUCACCUGCCUUACAGAGGUCUGGUUCUGCCGCAAGCUUGUGCGGACACUCUGGGUGUUACUAUGGCGACCAGGAAAUUCACGUCCACCUGAUUCAUGGACCCCCUUCCGGCUGAGGGCUGGGUCUACAGUGCAAGUGUUUGGGUUCAGGCUCGCUGCCAGUAUAUGGCUCUGCUCAGCCCCGGACACCGCACCGAGGAGACCAGUCUGUUUGGGGAACUCACGAGCAUCUCCUUGCUGAGGAGGGGAUUCUUCAGCACUCCGUGAUGGGGAGAACCGCGCCCUUUCUGCUCUUUGACCUGUCCCCGUGCCCCCACCCAGCAGGCCCCAGUGCCCGCCAGCAGCCUCGGCCCUGCUGACACUGGCCUGGUCGUUCUCUGCGGGGCCACCGGGGGCACUGGGAGCGCCAGCAGCACCCCUGGCCCCACCCACCAGACGCCAGGAGCACCCUUUCCCCAGGCCCUGAGUCUCCAGACACUGCGGGUGUCCCCCUGGGGUGCAGGAGCGUGCCCACCUAGAAGUGCUGGUGUAAGUGAAUGUGCAAUGUCUGAACAGUGAGGUGGGCAAGCGGCCCUUGGGUAAAAUGAACUUGCAGACAGGUCAAGGACAGGAAGGACAAUAAAGCAGGUCCUGCAGUGACCUAGAUGCAAAAUUGCUGCAGUUCUGCCACACAGGAAGUGUGCUAUUAGCGGGGACAACGACCGGCCCCUUUGAAGGCUACCCACUCUUUCCAAGAGCAUCCCACUUCAGCUCAGAUCUAGGGUGACCCAUUACCCCUUCCCAGCCUAACCUUCUGACCCCCCUGUCACUCCUCAGUCGACUUUUAAUUUCUUUCUUUCACAGCCGGGGACUUUGAAGGAUUGGAGCUGGUUCCGUGUCCCUCUGGAAUCCAAAUUCCUUCUCUUUUGGUGAGAACUGGGCUUCUCCUGGUUCUUCUCCGUUGCCAAACGUUGCCUCUUUCUCCAGCUGAGGAUGGGGCCCAAGCCCCACGAGCUGGCCCCUGACGUCCCCAGGCUCUGUCCUCGGUCACAGGGGACAAGCUGCUCUGAACUCAAGGGACAGCUGCCUCUCCCCCAGAUAACAGGGUCCCAUCCACUUGCUUUCCUCUGAAGAGACAGGAUUUGACUAUUAAUUCAAAAUUGCCUGAACUAAGGCCUGGCUGCCUGUCUCCGAUGUGGUCUGACCUUAAUCGCCACUGACAACAUUGUGCAUUCAGGGGAACGUGUGAAUUGGGAGACCACCAGCCUCCAGUGACACAGUCACCCAGCAAAUAAGCUUACGGGAGGCAAGCCGGUUCCAUCUGCUUAUUAGUGAUCACUUAACCAAAAGACUUGCUUUCGGGCAGACCCCUAAGGUAAAUGUUUCCCCUCGGACAGGACAGGCCAUUUCUUCUGUGUUUCUGAAGCCAUGGCCUUGGCCCUGGGGCCACAUCCCCCUGGUGACCCAGCCCGGUGCGUCCACUGGGCACCACCUCUCAGGGCCUGGGUGCAAUCUCUGCUCCUGGCCGCGGGCCUGGAAUUCUGGAUCUGCCCCCGGGGCACCCCCCUGCAUAUUCUAAGCCACGGGCUGCCGCACAUCUCCCCACCAAGGGCGGGGUCCUAACAUUGUGACAUCAAGGCACUGUGGUCCCCGGGCAGUGGAGCACCAUGUGCCAGGUGGUUCCAGGUGCACCCUCUGAUUGCUGAUGCAGCAGGUGAAUGGCACGGCUACCCGAUCCCCCAGAUUCCCCCACUACCGGCUGGCUGGCGUGUGGCCACCGAGCAGUGCGACCCCCACCCGGCAAAGCCACGUCUUUGCAGAACCAAUGGAAGCCAGUGUAGCUACAGCAGUCGUGACCCGCAGUGACAAGGCAGGAGGUGUGUACGCGCAUUGAAACUCGAGACGCACUGCUCUAAACCGGCAUUUCUUAGCCUCAGCACUUCAGACUUUUGGGGCCAUCCUGGAUACUGAGGGCCGUGACGCCAGCAGCACCCCCAGUCAUGAUGAGCAGGAAUGUCCCCAGACGCCGCCCUGCGUCCCCUGCCCACUGAGGAGCGCUGGUCCAGUGCCACAGCCUCACUGACCCAGGCCUUCCUUCCUGCCCCAGCCAGACCCACCUCCUGCCCGCAGCCUCCUCCCACUUCCCGGCGCGCAGCGGGGGACCAGCCCGGCCUCAGCGCGCCUCCCGGGCGCCUGCCUUACAUGUGCCUCUUGGGCCUCCGGCCUUCCUUCCCCUCCGACUUGCACCCUGGUUCCCGCCUCCUGUUCCUUCCAUCCUGAAUUCGGAAGACGGGGACCAUGGGGGACACAGGGAGCUUGUGGAGGAACUCAAAGCACCCUCCUAGGCCGCCUUCAAGGUCAGUGCCAGGGAUGCCACAGGGUGGAGGAGGAGGGAAGUGGGUGACAGGAGACGGGCCGUUCGAUCUGGCACAGGACAGCGAUGCCCAGGGACAGGGGGCACUUCCUGUGCUCUCAGCCAUCUCCAAAAUGGCCAACGACCACGAGCGACGCACAGGACCUCGGAGACUGACGCAGGCAAAGAGGAAGCUGUGCUCACGCCACCUACAUCCCACAAGGGUCUUUCCAGAGGCCCCCAGCUCCCCUCCACCCCUUCACUCCGGAAUUUACAGAGCAGACAGAGAAAAUCAACAACUUCCACUUAAAAUCGCAGCAUCGGAGGGGCUGUUAAAGCUCGGCCAGCCCCACUCUUUCAGCAGAUGGAGGAGGGCCCUGACCCGAGGCAGUCUGCCCACGCUGCAGGGGGGAGAGUACCUCCAUGGGAAUAAUUUUAGAUCAUCAAUUUCCAGAAACAUUUUCAAAUGAGACUGCAAUUCCUGAAAAAUGCUUUGCCUAAACCGGGACUGGGUAUAAAAUCAUUCUCUGGAAUGCACAGUAGCAUUUCUUUUGGGAGGAUUUAUCUUUUCCAGCCCGUAAUGAUUUAUAACUCUCUCACUGCCAACAGGUUGUUGGAAGGAUUGUGUAUCCUAAUCAAUCUUGUGGGGGAAUCUUCGGGCAAGUCGGAACUUACUCAUUUUGAUUCCAGCAUCAAAAUUAACUAUUAUUUUAAUUAUUAUUAAUUAUUGCAUCUAACAGGACUGGAGGCUAAUAGACUUGCUUUUUUAAAAAAACAGCUUGUAAUUUUUUUUGUUGGAGAGCGCAAAUGACAUCCCGUUAUAAGUUUUGGCCACAAAGGAAAGUUGGGAAACUCGUUCGGGUACUUUAAAUCGUCCCGAGACCUUAGGUGGAAUGCUGGUACAAAGGUGCCAUGGGCAUUUUCUCGGGGUGUUCAGCUACACAGUGAACCAUCCUUCAAAGACAAUCCGUACCACGAAAGACAGGCUCACAGGAGUGGUGUCCCGGACCAUGGGCUGCUGGGUUCUGACAGGCGGUAACGUGCAGCUGUCUCACCUUAGACAGGUUGCCCUCAGGAUGAAUGGGGCAGGAUCAGGUCCCCCUGCAAAACCUGCGCUGACUCACAUUUCUCGGGUUAUGGCCCAAGUUGGUGGGUGGGGGCAUGGGGCGGGGGCAGAGGAGGGAAAGAAAUGUGUCACUGGCUUUGAAUGAAAUUCAGGGGCAGUGUUUACCUAAGCAACGCCCCUGUAAACAAUCGCUGUCUCAGGCGUGGAGGAGGAGGUGGGGGAGCGCCACUGUUUUGAUCAAAAUCCGCCUGUGGCUGCAAAGCACCCAUCUACAGGCUGAGGGGUUUCUGCUGCCCUGUUGGUGGGGACGCAGCUGCUUCCUGAACAAGGAUAACGUGCACGUUCUCCUGAGGGCCACCUGCGUCCCCGACUUCUUAACAGGAAUAGUGAGGAGCGCGGAGGCCCCCGCGGUCGCCGUGACCAGCCGGCCUGGCACCUGACUGUCCUCCCAGCUUCUCGGGUGCUCUCAGGCGGCGGGGUGAACAUCACCCUGCCAAGGGCGCUGGGGAAGCUGCGCUGUACCAGGGUCAUAGGGGAGGAGGGGGGCCGGGUAACGCGAUGUUAUAAACACGAGGAAUUAGAGCAAAACCGAAAUUUCACUUAAGACUGCAGUUAGUCUCCAGUCGAGAGAAAUGUGGGACAUACUCGAAUGGCCAGGCAGUUUUUUCCCAGCAGCUCUGCCGGGUUUAUACAGAGGAGACCCCAGGGAGGCCCGGGUCUACCUGUUGUGGCGAAGCAAACUCAAGCAUAAUUUCAUCAGAGAAAAAUAUAUGCAGAUGUUCAAUUAAAACCCAGAGUCCGCAGCCCUGGCGCUGUUUGCUGGCCCUCAUUGUUUGCCGAGUAACAACGGUUGCCAGGGACAACGCAGUCCACUCCCGGCUCCAACAGCCUGUUGCUGGGCAACCGCGAGCAUGCUUCCCAAACCAAACAAUAUCAUCCCGGAGCAAUCCCUCUAUCUCACAUUAACCAGAUCUAAAAAAAAACCCUCCCAAAUAUGUAAUCUAUUAUUUUCAGAAGACCUAAGAGAAAGGCAAAUAAUCUCUUCUCCAUAGUAACCGAGGAGAAAACAGUUUCCCCUAUUUGUUCUGAAAUAACGAAACCCAAGAAGGACCAGCUCCCCGAGGUAAGCAUGUGAGCAGCGACUCCAGUCCUCCCUGGUGAAGGGAGGAGAAAGUGCCUCUUCCUCCAGGAGGAAGGAAUUUGUUUAUCAUGGAGUAAAUGACAAGGGAUAGUUCUAGCUGCGCACGGGUUUCCUGGGCAGUGAUUAUAUAAACUACAACGAACCAGAGACCAAGGUAUUAGAAAAAAAAAAGAAAAAGUAAGAACAGGCAAGUAGACACAUCAUUAAAAUGACUUUUGAAAACGUAACAUAUGCAUGAAGGAGGU